This 74-nucleotide transfer RNA is filed under the name Chryseobacterium balustinum. RNAcentral's name for it is "tRNA-Ala(tgc)". It matches the Rfam family "tRNA". From Rfam's summary of the family: Transfer RNA (tRNA) molecules are approximately 80 nucleotides in length. Their secondary structure includes four short double-helical elements and three loops (D, anti-codon, and T loops). The record is from RNAcentral. Lineage: Bacteria; Pseudomonadati; Bacteroidota; Flavobacteriia; Flavobacteriales; Weeksellaceae.
GAGGGGAAUUACUCAGCUGGCUAGAGCGCCUGCCUUGCACGCAGGAGGUCAAGGUUCGACUCCUUAUUCUCACA